UACGGAGGGUGCGAGCGUUGUCCGGAAUCAUUGGGCGUAAAGGGCGCGUAGGUGGCCCGGUCAGUUCGUGGUGAAAGCGCGGGGCUCAACCCUGCGUCGGCCAUGAAUACUGCCGCGGCUGGAGCACUGUAGAGGCAGGCGGAAUUCCGGGUGUAGCGGUGGAAUGCGUAGAGAUCCGGAAGAACACCGGUGGCGAAGGCGGCCUGCUGGGCAGUGGCUGACGCUGAGGCGCGACAGCGUGGGGAGCAAACAGGAUUAGAAACCCCGGGU
This 270-nucleotide ribosomal RNA is filed under the name uncultured bacterium. RNAcentral describes it as "partial 16S ribosomal RNA". It matches the Rfam family "Bacterial small subunit ribosomal RNA", at positions 524 to 792 of the family's 1533-position model. The record is from RNAcentral.